CAAGCUCCCAAAGGAAAACACCCAUGUGGUUUUUGCCUGCUUGAGGUUUUCUACUGGGGCCUCCUUACGUGCAAGAUAAUUAAGUGCCAAUGCGACAGAGGAACAAUUUAAAGGGUAACGGAGAUACUUAAGUCUAGGUAUAUUCAAAAUAAACAUCCUAGCCAGGUCAACUUCUGGGUCCUCUCUGCAUGCCCCAGACACA
RNAcentral lists this long non-coding RNA (202 nucleotides) under Homo sapiens (human). Its description in RNAcentral is "non-protein coding lnc-SHB-1:3". Lineage: Eukaryota; Metazoa; Chordata; Mammalia; Primates; Hominidae. The record is from RNAcentral.